RNAcentral lists this ribosomal RNA (253 nucleotides) under uncultured bacterium. Its description in RNAcentral is "partial 16S ribosomal RNA". It matches the Rfam family "Bacterial small subunit ribosomal RNA", at positions 524 to 776 of the family's 1533-position model. The record is from RNAcentral.
UACGUAGGGUGCAAGCGUUGUCCGGAAUUAUUGGGCGUAAAGAGCUCGUAGGCGGUUUGUCGCGUCUGCUGUGAAAACCCGAGGCUCAACCUCGGGCCUGCAGUGGGUACGGGCAGACUAGAGUGCGGUAGGGGAGAUUGGAAUUCCUGGUGUAGCGGUGGAAUGCGCAGAUAUCAGGAGAAACACCAAUGGCGAAGGCAGAUCUCUGGGCCGUAACUGACGCUGAGGAGCGAAAGCAUGGGGAGCGAACAGG